This 4151-nucleotide small RNA is filed under the name Rattus norvegicus (Norway rat). RNAcentral describes it as "uncharacterized LOC102555900". The record is from RNAcentral. Lineage: Eukaryota; Metazoa; Chordata; Mammalia; Rodentia; Muridae.
CCAGCACCAGGCCAAGCCCCACUUGGAGUCAGCAGCAUCCCUGAAUGUGACUGCAAAGACAAGCCUUGACAAGAAAGAAACUGAGAUUAAAGACAAUGUCAGCAUAUUUUCCAUUUUUUCUUUGAACAAAAAAGAUAAUAUUCAGCAGGUGCUCUCAGUAAGGAGCAGCUUUUAAACAGGGUAUGUUUGUGAUUCUCUGCAUUCUGCAUCUAGAAAGAAACCAUGGACUUAUCUUCUAAUGCCAGAGCCAAGGAAAUCAUGCAACUGGGAUGAGCUAUUUUUGUUUCCUUUAGACUAGCCAAACUGGCAACAUGAGGCAGCUGGAGUGCUACACCUGAAGUCAAGGGACCUGGGUUUGGAACUGGAACUUAUACCAACUACUACCUAGAGAGCCUGGGCAGUUGUCAGCCGGUGAAGCCAGCUUCUCCUCCUCCUUACUACCCAGGAGAAUGUAAAGAUAAGCUCGGACUACAUGAUGGACUACAUGAGUUACUCUUCCUUCCUUCCCUAAACAUGCUGAACACCAUCUCUGUUCAUCAACAGCACCCUGCAAAAUAAGAAUGGUCUUAAUGGACUGGUAGACUGUAAAAUAUUGGUAUCUGCAACUUAUAGAAGAAAAGGUUUAUUUGGCUUACGGUUCCAGAGGACUAAGUCAACUGUGGCGGGGAAGUAUGGCGGCAGCGGCAGUGGCAGCAGCAGUGGUGGCAGCAGCAGGCAUGGUGGCUGGAGCAAAAGCUGAGGUCUCACAUCUUGAACUGCAAGGCUGGAGCAGAGGACUGGAAACAGCACGAGGCUUUGACAUCUCAAAGCCCACCCCCAGUGACAUGCUUUCUCCUCAACGAGGCACCUCUUUUUAAACCUCCCCAAACAGCCACCAACUGGGAUCAAGAAUCCAAACAUCUGAGACUAUGGGGCACAGUGUCAUUCCAGCUGUAACAGUUCUUGACUAAAGGUGAGCAAAGAGUAGACAUGGAAGGGGGGAGCUCCCUCACACAGAAUGCUAACACAAAGUCCACCAAGAGGCAAGGUCUCUGUAAGUGACAGUGCUACAAUACUGUUUUGUUUUGCGACAGGCUAGCCUUGAACUCCCUAUGAAGUUGAAGGUUACCUUAAGCCUUUGCUUCUACCUCCUGAAUGCUAGAAUUACAGGCGAGUCCCACUAUACCUGGUUUACUCAGUGCUGGGGACUGAACACAGGGCUCGGUGCACACUCUACCAGGUUACUUCUUUAACAAGAGAGCUACACCCUAGAAAUAAGCAUUUAAAAUCAAAAUUUAUUAAAAGUAAUAGAAGCCUUUUUUAGUUUCUUUAGUAGACAAUUUAUUUUGAUAAACUUGCUCAAUAACAAAAAUACAAGUGAAGAAAAUUAUGUUCACUUUAUACAGUUGUAUUAACAAUUUGUUUUGAAACUAUUAAUUGAAAAAAUGUUAUAACCAAUUAGAAAACAAUUCUUAAUAAAGUUUUGGAUAAUAUACAGUCCUUGACCACAACCUAAAGUCUCUCAAGGCCACACAACUAAAAUUCUGUGUAGACGAUUCCACCUACACAGACCGCCUUUCUCCUUCAUAUAUUUUUAUCCUUCAAAACUUUUCUAAAAGACAGCUUACUGUUUUGACUUGUGAAUGAAAAUUUAAUCCUUAAAAAAAAGAUCAAAGUGGGUUGAUAAAACAGUUACUAUGACCAGAGUAACUGGUGACUAGUAGUCUUUUAAUAAAGACAAAAUAAAUGCAACAUGUUCUUCUCAUGAAGCCCAUGAUGCAAAAUAACAGCUAAGAACAGAUCCAAAGUUAAUUUCCAACACUUUUUCAGGACCUUUCCUCUAAACCAACAGAUUGCCUGUCACCAGGACUAUCUAUUUCACUGAAGAGAUUAAACAGUGAACUCAUACAACAACACACGGAGAAAUCAAAGCUGUAGGCAAAACCCAAGAAUGUGUUUUGGUCAUCUAGAACAUUACAAAAGAAAAAGAAGGCAUCCUUCAAAAACAAAACAGAUGGAACAGAAAAUAGGUUUGUGAGAGAUGGGAGAGUCAGAAACAUUCCACCCACACACCAACAACACAGAACAUGGAUUACCUUGGAAAGAAUUGUGAGAGAUGGGAAAGUCAGAAACAUCCCACCCACACACUAACAACACAGAACGUGGAUUACCUUGAAAGAAUUGUACUAAUGGUUGCUUUUAAUGAACUGAAGGUUUUUAUCUUUACAGAUGUGUAGGCUUGUUCGAUAGGAGCUUCCCAAAAACUCAAACUAGUUCAGUCUUGUGCAAAUAAAACCUAAAAAUAGUUUUCAGCAGAUUUUACAGUGAUAUUCUUAGGCAUGAGAGAAUGUACACUCUAAGAACAAUGUAACAGACAAAAUCUGACAAAUGAUUGCACCAUAAAAGUGUUUUAUAUAUACAUUUUACAAGAUAUGAUUCCUGCUAUAAAUUAAUACUGUGCUAUGUAGUGAUCAUAGUGACCCUUUAAAAGCAGCUGCUGGCAGCUGUUUGUCCUUCCACUUACAGGACUUAGAUUAUAUGGAUGAGUUCACUUCAAUAACGUUUGGUCUGAGAGAGUUUACAAAGACUGGACUUCACACACUAUUUGAUGGGUGGUUUUAAUCCUGGGUCAGAGCGCUGAGUGGCUAGAGGGGCUUCCCCCCAUCAGCUCUUCAUGCACUGGGCUUCUAAGACAAUGAUGAAAUUAAAGACAAUUUAAUGGUUUGGGUAAUAGAUACAAAUAAAACCUAAAAUUUUGUAAUCUUACACAAUACCACUGUAAAUGAGAGAAGUAAACAGUGGGGAAAUUCAUAGCAGCUGAGAAUCUUUCUCUCCCCAUGCUCAUGAUCCAGUUAAAAAUAUUUUGAGAAACUAUAUACAAUAAAAUCCAUCUUUUUAAAGAGAAAAGCUCUUGGUCAUGUCAGUUAAUUUGAAGUAUACUUUGCUAAUACUUUUUAUCAGUGGUAUAGUGCCAACUACCAAACCUUUCCUUCAGAGUGACCCAUCUGACUGACGACUAAUCAAAGCCCAAUCCUGAAUGUCCAUAGGACAUGUAUAGUGGUGGCCUUAGAACUGCCUGGAUGGAACAGGUGGUGGAAAGUGUCCUUCCUCCGAUUGACUGCAGGGUUCUCACACUUCUAGAAGGGUCCACUCCUCCAAGGUUCCGGUAUGAGCCCAAACACUGGCUUUUCAUUCACAAUUUAAUACUGAGACAGGUGAAUAGCAAACACACUGGUGAGGACUGACUCAAGUCUUCCACUCUAGGUUGGCUCUCAAUAACCAUCCCGUGAGGGAUAAUCGAGCUGCUUAGGAAUCAUUCGUGUGUAUGAAGCUCGGGCUAUGUGGGACUUGUACUCUGUCCACCAACAGGGACACUUGGAUUGCCAUUCACUAUAGAGAGGACAAAUUCAGGCUCCACUGCCAUCAAACAUCCUUGUGACCAGAUUCAAACAAGUGUUCACCAGGAAGAAUCUCGGUGUUGACGCAGGCAUGGGAAUGUGGGGAGGAAAGGGCUCUGUUUUAAAAGUACUUGUGAGUUCAGAAUUGGCUGCAUUGCUGUUUCUAGAAAAAACCCUUAAGGCUGUGGGUUUAAUGCAGCCUUCAAACAAAUGCAAGAAUGUUAGCUUUUUAGCAAACACAGGUAUAAUGCAUAUAGAGGAAAUAUUGUAUUGCUCAAGAAUUUGGUGAAGAUCUACUAAUAAUACAGAUAAAAUGCAAUUUUUAUGGGAGAGCAGAAUUAGUGUUGUCAAUAGCCAAAACAGCCAGAUGUUUGCCAGUGACCUUAAUGUGAAGCUGUAUGCUUGAACAUAUACAAUGCACUGUUAAUGUAGCAGACUGAACCAGUGGUAAGAAUGAAUGUCUGUACAAUACAUGAUAGUUGAUACUCAUUUCAACAGUGUCAGAUUCCCCAAACUAUAAGGUUUGACAUGACCUUACCUUUACUAUCAUAUACAAAUAAAUUAAACCUAGAAAGAAUCUUUAGCUUAACUUAAAAUUGCACCUAGAAAGGUAUGGAGUUAUUUGUACCUAUUACAGAAACCUGUCAAAAUCAAGGGCUGCUACAAAGAAUGAGGUAAACUGAAGACUCUCUCCACUAUGCAGCCUUCAGAUAAAUGGCUUUUUUCUAUUGAGUUCUAGGUUGCACACCACAGUGUUUUGCUAGCAAGCAUUCA